UACAGAGGUCUCAAGCGUUGUUCGGAUUCAUUGGGCGUAAAGGGCGCGUAGGCGGCGGGGCAAGUCUGAUGUGAAAUCUCAGGGCUCAACCCUGAAACUGCAUUCGAUACUGCCUUGCUCGAGGGCUGGAGAGGAGAUUGGAAUUCACGGUGUAGCAGUGAAAUGCGUAGAUAUCGGGAGGAAGACCAGUGGCGAAGGCGGAGCUCUGGACAGUUCCUGACGCUGAGGCACGAAGGCCAGGGGAGCAAACGGG
Molecule: ribosomal RNA, 253 nt
Filed under: uncultured bacterium
Lineage: Bacteria
Description: partial 16S ribosomal RNA
Rfam family: Bacterial small subunit ribosomal RNA
Source: RNAcentral